UGGGGAAUUUUCCGCAAUGGGCGAAAGCCUGACGGAGUGACGCCGCGUGUGGGACGAAGGCCUUCGGGUCGUAAACCACUGUCAGUGGGAAAGAAGGAUGUCGGUGCUAAUACCACCGGCAUUUGACGGUACCUGCAGAGGAAGCCCCGGCCAACUCUGUGCCAGCAGCCGCGGUAAGACAGAGGGGGCAAGCUUUGCUCGGAAUUACUGGGCGUAAAGGGCGCGUAGGCGGGAUGGCAAGUCGGUCGUGAAAUCCUUCGGCUCAACCGAAGAACGUCGAUCGAUACUGCUGUUCUUGAGGGUUGCAGAGGAGACUGGAAUUCCCGGUGUAGCGGUGAAAUGUGUAGAGAUCGGGAGGAACACCGGUGGCGAAGGCGGGUCUCUGGGCAAUUCCUGACGCUGAGGCGCGAAAGCGUGGGGAGCAAACGGG
Molecule: ribosomal RNA, 430 nt
Filed under: bacterium
Lineage: Bacteria
Description: partial 16S ribosomal RNA
Rfam family: Bacterial small subunit ribosomal RNA
Source: RNAcentral